UACGGGGGGGGCAAGCGUUGUUCGGAAUUACUGGGCGUAAAGGGCGCGUAGGCGGCCUGCUAAGUCGGACGUGAAAUCCCUCGGCUCAACCGGGGAACUGCGUCCGAUACUGGCGAGGCUUGAAUCCGGGAGAGGGAUGUGGAAUUCCAGGUGUAGCGGUGAAAUGCGUAGAUAUCUGGAGGAACACCGGUGGCGAAGGCGGCAUCCUGGACCGGCAUUGACGCUGAUGAGCGAAAGCCAGGGGAGCAAACGGG
This 254-nucleotide ribosomal RNA is filed under the name uncultured bacterium. Its description in RNAcentral is "partial 16S ribosomal RNA". It matches the Rfam family "Bacterial small subunit ribosomal RNA", at positions 524 to 776 of the family's 1533-position model. The record is from RNAcentral.